AAAUUGAAGAGUUUGAUCAUGGCUCAGAUUGAACGCUGGCGGCAGGCCUAACACAUGCAAGUCGAACGGUAACAGGAAGCAGCUUGCUGCUUUGCUGACGAGUGGCGGACGGGUGAGUAAUGUCUGGGAAACUGCCUGAUGGAGGGGGAUAACUACUGGAAACGGUGGCUAAUACCGCAUAACGUCGCAAGACCAAAGAGGGGGACCUUCGGGCCUCUUGCCAUCAGAUGUGCCCAGAUGGGAUUAGCUUGUUGGUGAGGUAACGGCUCACCAAGGCGACGAUCCCUAGCUGGUCUGAGAGGAUGACCAGCCACACUGGAACUGAGACACGGUCCAGACUCCUACGGGAGGCAGCAGUGGGGAAUAUUGCACAAUGGGCGCAAGCCUGAUGCAGCCAUGCCGCGUGUAUGAAGAAGGCCUUCGGGUUGUAAAGUACUUUCAGCGGGGAGGAAGGUGUUGUGGUUAAUAACCGCAGCAAUUGACGUUACCCGCAGAAGAAGCACCGGCUAACUCCGUGCCAGCAGCCGCGGUAAUACGGAGGGUGCAAGCGUUAAUCGGAAUUACUGGGCGUAAAGCGCACGCAGGCGGUCUGUCAAGUCGGAUGUGAAAUCCCCGGGCUCAACCUGGGAACUGCAUUCGAAACUGGCAGGCUUGAGUCUUGUAGAGGGGGGUAGAAUUCCAGGUGUAGCGGUGAAAUGCGUAGAGAUCUGGAGGAAUACCGGUGGCGAAGGCGGCCCCCUGGACAAAGACUGACGCUCAGGUGCGAAAGCGUGGGGAGCAAACAGGAUUAGAUACCCUGGUAGUCCACGCCGUAAACGAUGUCUACUUGGAGGUUGUGCCCUUGAGGCGUGGCUUCCGGAGCUAACGCGUUAAGUAGACCGCCUGGGGAGUACGGCCGCAAGGUUAAAACUCAAAUGAAUUGACGGGGGCCCGCACAAGCGGUGGAGCAUGUGGUUUAAUUCGAUGCAACGCGAAGAACCUUACCUGGUCUUGACAUCCACAGAAGAAUCCAGAGAUGGAUUUGUGCCUUCGGGAACUGUGAGACAGGUGCUGCAUGGCUGUCGUCAGCUCGUGUUGUGAAAUGUUGGGUUAAGUCCCGCAACGAGCGCAACCCUUAUCCUUUGUUGCCAGCGAUUAGGUCGGGAACUCAAAGGAGACUGCCAGUGAUAAACUGGAGGAAGGUGGGGAUGACGUCAAGUCAUCAUGGCCCUUACGACCAGGGCUACACACGUGCUACAAUGGCGCAUACAAAGAGAAGCGACCUCGCGAGAGCAAGCGGACCUCAUAAAGUGCGUCGUAGUCCGGAUUGGAGUCUGCAACUCGACUCCAUGAAGUCGGAAUCGCUAGUAAUCGUGGAUCAGAAUGCCACGGUGAAUACGUUCCCGGGCCUUGUACACACCGCCCGUCACACCAUGGGAGUGGGUUGCAAAAGAAGUAGGUAGCUUAACCUUCGGGAGGGCGCUUACCACUUUGUGAUUCAUGACUGGGGUGAAGUCGUAACAAGGUAACCGUAGGGGAACCUGCGGUUGGAUCACCUCCUUACCUUAAAGAA
RNAcentral lists this ribosomal RNA (1552 nucleotides) under Salmonella enterica. RNAcentral describes it as "bacterial SSU rRNA". It matches the Rfam family "Bacterial small subunit ribosomal RNA". Lineage: Bacteria; Pseudomonadati; Pseudomonadota; Gammaproteobacteria; Enterobacterales; Enterobacteriaceae. RNAcentral also lists the same sequence under 7 other names. The record is from RNAcentral.